This 253-nucleotide ribosomal RNA is filed under the name uncultured prokaryote. RNAcentral describes it as "partial 16S ribosomal RNA". It matches the Rfam family "Bacterial small subunit ribosomal RNA", at positions 525 to 777 of the family's 1533-position model. The record is from RNAcentral.
ACGGGGGGGGCAAGCGUUGUUCGGAAUUACUGGGCGUAAAGGGCUCGUAGGCGGCCAACUAAGUCAGACGUGAAAUCCCCCGGCUUAACCAGGGAACUGCGUCUGAUACUGGAUGGCUUGAGUUUGGGAGAGGGAUGCGGAAUUCCAGGUGUAGCGGUGAAAUGCGUAGAUAUCUGGAGGAACACCGGUGGCGAAGGCGACAUCCUGGACCGACAUUGACGCUAAACGGCGAAAGCUAGGGGAGCGAACAGGA